This is a long non-coding RNA of Lathyrus oleraceus (garden pea), 795 nucleotides long. RefSeq lists it as uncharacterized. The record is from RefSeq and is a predicted model, not a curated record. NCBI's taxonomy places the organism in Eukaryota, Viridiplantae, Streptophyta, Magnoliopsida, Fabales, Fabaceae. The transcript has 2 exons.
AAUGGACAAAUCGUUUGGACCCUAGGCCCAAACAACCAAGGGUUGAAAAACUACUCAUACGCAAGCUGAAGAAGCGAGCCUUCAUUCUCACUCGGCACAAGCUGAAACAGAAAAAAAAAACUCAUUUGAAGAAAAGCCAAAACGUGAAUGCAAAGCGCCCCGCUUCGACAUCCCUUCAUCCUCGCCGUUCGCGAUCGUGCCUGUUCGAGAAGACUGUUCGCGUCCAUGCCGGUUCGAGAAACGAAUCGAAUUCAACCAUGUGUUUGUGUUCUAGAUCCGAAGGUUCAUCGUUUUACAGGUUCAUGACAUUCAUCCACCACGUGGUUUACUCCAUUCAACUCCUAACACUCGACGAUUCAACUCACGUGCUAUCAUUCGCGCACAUAAUGAAGAAGCAACUAAAUAUUGUCGCAGGCGAAUCGAAAACUUACCGGAUUCGAAGCUUCAAUCACAAACAGAUUAUGCAUUUUCAUGAAGGAGUUUCAAGUGGAAAUACUGUGAAUCAAAGGCAAUGCAAAUGCUGCUUGGGUCAUUGAAGUGUGGGAUCGAAUUUUAAGGUUUUUAGGAACUUAGGUUAUAUGUUGGUUCAUACCUUGCUUUUGGAAUUGUAAUGCAUUGCCAUGGAAUUGUAUAUACUUGAAUGGAAUUGAAAUGGAUUUGUAAAUGGAAAGUUUGAAAAUUUAUGGAAUUGUAUUGAAGAUUAUAAUUGUAACUUUGAGAUUGGAAUUCGUUUGACAUUGUAUUUUGAAUGUAAAAUUGAGAUUUUGGUUGAAUGUAUAUGGAAUUUUGGUUGAA